Molecule: ribosomal RNA, 25 nt
Filed under: Agalychnis callidryas (red-eyed leaf frog)
Lineage: Eukaryota; Metazoa; Chordata; Amphibia; Anura; Hylidae
Description: partial 16S ribosomal RNA
Source: RNAcentral
UUUNAAGUAGCUUAAAACCAGAGCA